CACAGAAGUGCUUCAUGCAAAACAAGAAGUGCACAAGCAGUCCUUCAUCAGACUUUCUCAUACAAAUAAUAGCACUGGGUUGCCAAAGUUGGGCCUAAGCUUAAUUUCAGCCUAUUAACAGAAACAAGCAAGCACUUCCCUUAAACUCAUUCCAUAUCUGAUAAAGACUGCAAAUCUGAAUGUUGUAUUUUUUCACUUGAAAUAACAAAGAGCAGGAUUCAGCAUAUCCAAGAAAAUUCACUCAGCUGUUGUUAAGUCAUAGUCCUGAAACAGCACAAAUUAGUUGAAAUCUUAUUGUGAACCCAAUAUAUACAGGAACAACACUUAGAAAUACAGAGUAACACUCACAGUAGCAUUUCUAAUGGCAGUCAGAAUAUCAAUUGUGUUAAGGCCACCUAGAGGGUCAACAGAUUCUAAGGUUCGUCCAAAGGUCUCAUGAAAGAUGUAACAGAUUCUGGCUCCACCACAUAGCUCAGAAGUCUCUAUGUAUUUUGCUGUUCCUUCAAUAGUGUUGCAAUAUUCUGUGGCAAAUUUGGUAAUAAGCUGCAAUAAAGUGGCACUUUUGUCCUCAACAGGUUCCCCAUAGCUGUUAAGUAGAGACUGGUACUGAGCAGCUAAAACAUUGAUUCUGGUUUUCAGCUCUGGCAAGCAGUCCCUGAUGUGAUGCAUUAGUAGCCUGUUCAGUGUUCUAGCAAGAUACUUAGUUCCAUUUCGAUUGGCUAGGGAGGGAUACUUCUUUUGAAGAAAACCAUAUUCAUCACGAAUAGAAUCCGCUACACUCUUCUUAUUGUUAAUAUCCAGCUGACUCCUGUUCACUACUCCAAUGAUGCCAAGUUUUACUGGAAUCACUCUUCCCAUGAGCACAUCCAUAGCAUCAGUGCCAGCAUCCAUGAGAUCCAGCUUUGUGAUAACAGCAAGGGUUCUUCGACCAUCUGGAUCCACUUCCCGUGCAAUUUUAAGUGCUUCUGAAGUGGCCAUGUCUGUGUUAGCUGCUGUGACUGCCAGAAUAAUUGAAUUUGGGUUGCUGAUGAAUUGAAGGAUUAGCUCUCUUAUUUGAAGUUCAAUAUCCUUGGGCUGAUCACCAACAGGCACCUUUGUCAUUCCCGGUAAAUCCACAAGAGUCAGAUUCACAACAUUAGAUGAAAAAAUCUUAAGAUGAAUUGGUUCAGGACUGAUACCCUUAUUAUUUCCUGAAAUCCUCUCUGUUUCAUUUUCUAUUUCCUGACGAAUUUCAUCAAAAUCUGUAUAGAUCUUAUUUUUGGUGUGAAGAAAUUUACCCCACUCUUCAGCAUCUAUCUCUUUAGAAAGGUGUCUUGGAUUUUUCCAUGUAGCAGGGUCUGCAGUUAAAGAGAAACAGCAGUGAAUGAUGUUUAAAAUUUUCCAUCAUAUUUAACACAACAUUUUAUUUACCUUCAUCACAAGUUUCUAUAACAGAGAUCACAAAUGCAUGCAGACAAAUGUGCAUGCUAGUCCACUACUGAUGAGAAUGUGUAACAUUAACAAUAUGCACAGCAGUAAGAUCUUAACUGAACACUGAUAAAUGAUGGGUAUUAAUCAGCUAUUCC
This 1565-nucleotide long non-coding RNA is filed under the name Gallus gallus (chicken). The record is from RNAcentral. Lineage: Eukaryota; Metazoa; Chordata; Aves; Galliformes; Phasianidae.